This 566-nucleotide ribosomal RNA is filed under the name Kazachstania bromeliacearum. RNAcentral's name for it is "LSU rRNA". It matches the Rfam family "Eukaryotic large subunit ribosomal RNA", at positions 69 to 648 of the family's 3401-position model. The record is from RNAcentral. Lineage: Eukaryota; Fungi; Ascomycota; Saccharomycetes; Saccharomycetales; Saccharomycetaceae.
CCGGGAUUACCUUAGUAACGGCGAGUGAAGCGGUAAAAGCUCAAAUUUGAAAUCUAGUACCUUCGGUGCUCGAGUUGUAAUUUGUAGAGGGAUACUUUGGGGCCGUUCCUUGUCUAUGUUCCUUGGAACAGGACGUCAUAGAGGGUGAGAAUCCCGUGUGGCGAGGAGUGCGGUUCUAUGUAAAGUGCCUUCGAAGAGUCGAGUUGUUUGGGAAUGCAGCUCUAAGUGGGUGGUAAAUUCCAUCUAAAGCUAAAUAUUGGCGAGAGACCGAUAGCGAACAAGUACAGUGAUGGAAAGAUGAAAAGAACUUUGAAAAGAGAGUGAAAAAGUACGUGAAAUUGUUGAAAGGGAAGGGCAUUUGAUCAGACAUGGUGUUUUGUGCCCUCCGCUCCUUGUGGGUGGGGGAAUCUCGCAGCUCACUGGGCCAGCAUCAGUUUUGGCGGCAGGAUAAAUCUGUAGGAAUGUAGCUUGCUUCGGGAAGUGUUAUAGCCUGCGGGAAUACUGCCAGCCGGGACUGAGGAAUGCGACUUUUAGUCAAGGAUGCUGGCAUAAUGGUUAAAUGCCGC